Copidosoma floridanum is the source of this 1146-nucleotide long non-coding RNA. The record is from RefSeq and is a predicted model, not a curated record. NCBI's taxonomy places the organism in Eukaryota, Metazoa, Arthropoda, Insecta, Hymenoptera, Encyrtidae.
GGGGAAUGCGUAUAGUAAUUACGUAAACAGGGAAAAAGCUAGUAAUCUUUUAAAAAAAAGCAAUUUUUACACUUGUGAACGUAGUAGCGCUUAUGAAUGAGAGAGAACGAGUUCAAGAUUAUUCAACUGAGUGGCGAGAAAAUCAGUGCAGAUCAGUUCGAUGUGAACUAAACUUAGUUUAUUUUUUGUUAGUCGUUUUUGAUUCGAUCAUGUGUUUUAUUUGAAGAAAAGAAAAAAAAAAUUAAAAAAAAAUAGAGUAAUAGUUUAGAAAUAAUCGAACUAGUUGCGCGCUUUUAUUAGUGACUGUAGCUGAAAAUGUGAGUUAUCAGUAAACAUCUAAAGUUGAUAGCAGCGAAAAGAGCACGCAAGAAGAGACAGAGACGUCGAGUUAGCUCUUCAGGACAAUUGCAACAACUCUCGAUAAACAUUUGCUUUGCAGAAGUCCCGCGAAAGUUGUCCUUUUCAUCGUAUUUUGGCAACCAGUUCAAUGAAUUUUUGUGUAAUUUGAGAAUAUUACACGAAUAAGUUAGCAAAGCCCGUGGUAUCUAAAUGUACAUUGUCGGGAGCUUGCUUCCUUCAGGUAAACAAUGUUCGGCGCUGUUUAUCUACAAUGAACUUUUAAUAAUUAUGCGCCUGUACAUACCAUAUUAUUUACACGUUAUGGUAAUAAAAUAAAAUACAAUAAAAUAUAAUCAUUUCAUCCACAUGUAUGGAAAAAAAAUAUUUUGUUUGAUUUUUUUUUUACAUUUACAUACAACAUUUUUACUGCAGCUAUCGAAUAUGCUUACAUUGAUGGUAAUUGACAUUUAUACCAAAUAUUUCAUAAACAUCCAUCUGUGUCUUUUAUCGCGAAAUCUUUUCAUUAUGUAUAUAUGAAGAGCUAAUUUGUAGAUAGUCAAUUUUCUGGUGGAAUUGUUUGAAAUUAGAUUUUUUUUAUUCAUGCAAAAUUUAUUUUUGUUUAAUCACGAACUAUUGUAAAUAAUCAAGAAAUAGGCUGUUUCGUGCAGAACUUUUCAAUAACUAAAUGAUUUUUUUUAACAAAUUGACAAAAUCACAUACGCAGAAAUAAAUGUCAAAUUACGUUCCGUGUGCAAUUUGUAGUAAUUAAUUAAUAAUGUACAAUAAUAAUAAAAAAAAUGUACUAAA